Molecule: ribosomal RNA, 414 nt
Filed under: Pantoea sp. H1-2-2-f
Lineage: Bacteria; Pseudomonadati; Pseudomonadota; Gammaproteobacteria; Enterobacterales; Erwiniaceae
Also listed under: 5 other names
Description: bacterial SSU rRNA
Rfam family: Bacterial small subunit ribosomal RNA
Source: RNAcentral
GGGAUUAGCUAGUAGGUAGGGUAAUGGCUUACCUAGGCGACGAUCCCUAGCUGGUCUGAGAGGAUGACCAGCCACACUGGAACUGAGACACGGUCCAGACUCCUACGGGAGGCAGCAGUGGGGAAUAUUGCACAAUGGGCGCAAGCCUGAUGCAGCCAUGCCGCGUGUAUGAAGAAGGCCUUCGGGUUGUAAAGUACUUUCAGUCAGGAGGAAGGGUGUGAAAUUAAUACUUUCAUGCAUUGACGUUACUGACAGAAGAAGCACCGGCUAACUCCGUGCCAGCAGCCGCGGUAAUACGGAGGGUGCAAGCGUUAAUCGGAAUUACUGGGCGUAAAGCGCACGCAGGCGGUUUGUUAAGUCAGAUGUGAAAUCCCCGGGCUCAACCUGGGAACUGCAUUUGAAACUGGCAAGCUU